RNAcentral lists this ribosomal RNA (402 nucleotides) under Gallotia simonyi machadoi. Its description in RNAcentral is "partial 16S ribosomal RNA". It matches the Rfam family "Bacterial large subunit ribosomal RNA", at positions 1972 to 2575 of the family's 2925-position model. Lineage: Eukaryota; Metazoa; Chordata; Lepidosauria; Squamata; Lacertidae. The record is from RNAcentral.
UCCCUAAAUAGGGACUAGUAUGAACGGCUAAAUGAGGGCCUUACUGUCUCUUGCCGCCAGUCAAUGAAACUGAUCUCCCAGUCCAAAAGCUGGGAUAACACCAUAAGACAAAAAGACCCUGUGGAGCUUUAAAACCAAAACCACUAAAAUUGUCCACUUGGUUUUUAGUUGGGGCGACUUCGGAGUAAAAACAAACCUCCGAAAAAAUGGACCCUACCAUAUCACGGCCAACACGCCAAAAUAACCAAAACUCGACCCAGAUCCUAAUUAAUCUGACCAAUGAACCAAGUUACCCCAGGGAUAACAGCGCCAUCUUCUUCUAGAGUCCAUAUCGACAAGAAGGUUUACGACCUCGAUGUUGGAUCAGGACACCCCAAUAGUGCAGCCGCUAUUAAAGGUUCG